Molecule: small RNA, 138 nt
Filed under: Gopherus agassizii (Agassiz's desert tortoise)
Lineage: Eukaryota; Metazoa; Chordata; Testudines; Testudinidae
Description: TUC338 (ENSGAGG00000018337.1)
Source: RNAcentral
UCAACAGCACUGGAAACUCAUCUCCACAGAUCAGAUUUCCUUAUAUUGCCCCACCAAUGUGUGUCAACCUCAGCCUUGAAAGAUCAUCUCUAGGUGAGAGGUCAUUCAGUUACCAUACUCAUUCAAUCCUUGACUUCU